RNAcentral lists this long non-coding RNA (807 nucleotides) under Olea europaea (common olive). RNAcentral's name for it is "long non-coding RNA (OEUR_LNC013244)". Lineage: Eukaryota; Viridiplantae; Streptophyta; Magnoliopsida; Lamiales; Oleaceae. The record is from RNAcentral.
AUUACAUAAAGCAGAAAACAUGAGAAAGAGAGAGAGAAAAAGAAAGAGACGGGGGAGAUGCAGAGAGAGAGAAAGAGGGAGGGAGAAGAGAAAACGUAAAGAAAGAAAGGAAGAAAAAAGAAAAGAAAAGAAAAUUUUCUAACGCGUUCGAGAUUCGUUCGUAAGAAUUUUCAAUCCUAAAUAGUUCAAGUACAUAAGGAAUUUAUCGAAUAGGUAUGAAUUUAUCUAAAUGUCCAAUGAUUUUGUGUUUUCACUUUUUAAUGUUUUAAGUCAAGUGUUUUAUGUGCUGUUAUAUGUUCCAAAGUAAGGAAAAAUAUUGUGGAAAUAUCAUAAGAUAUUAUUAUGUAGAUCUACACGGAAAUCAGCCAAAUGGCUAAAUACCCUAAGUGGAGAUUGAAAAUGUGUUUGACCUAAGUAAAAAUGAGACGGUCAGAGUUUUAUCCCACUAGAAAGUUAUGUUAUAUGCGUAUUUUACUUACUUUUUGUAUUAAAAUGUGAAAAUACUGAGAUGAAAUCUAUACGGAGUAUAUUCAAAUACUCAUUCUAUAUUCUAAAUUAUUUUUACAGAUACUUGAUGGAUCGGAGUUGGAAGUCGAGAUUGCAGACAGAGUUCGUGUUGCUGGAUCAAGAAUUUAAGAUUUUCUUUUAAUAUUUAGUAUUUAGUUAGAAAAUAUUUUUUUAUUUAAAUUAGAAUUUUAUUUUUAAAUCAAUGGUGAAUUUUUCAAAAUAAGUACUGUAUUCAUAGUAAAACAUUGAAUUAGAUUAAUUAAUGUUUUAUGAGACAAUAAAAUAACUUGUUUUUAUUCC